UUUAAAUGAAGACCAGAACAAAAGAUAAAACAUUUCAAUUAAUUUCUUAAAUUCAAAUUUUCAAAAUUAUCUUAAAUGUAAAAAGACAUUUAUAUAAAAGAAAGACGACAAGACCCUAUUGAACUUUACUACAGUUUAACUGGGGCAGUUAAUUAAUUAAUACUUUAAUAAAACUAUUUAAUUAAAUAGACCCAAUACCAUUGACUAAAUAAUCAAGUUACCAUAGGGAUAACAGCGUAAUAAUUAUCUAAAGAUCUUAUAUAAACACAAGUUUGCGACCUCGAUGUUGAAUUAAUAACCUAAUUAACGCAAAAGUUAUUAAAGGAAGUCUGUUCGACUUUUAAAAAAUUACAUGAUUUGAGUUCAGACCGGUAUAAGCCAGGUCGGUUUCUAUCUUCUAAUCAAAUCUUUACAGUACGAAAGGACCUAAAGAAAUAAUAUAAUUAUUUAAUUGACAGAACAAUGUGUUAGAAUUAGAAUCUAAUAAAGAUAUAAUUACAAUUAUUAUUACAUAUAUAAUUAUUGUCAUCAGA
Molecule: ribosomal RNA, 533 nt
Filed under: Anyphops tugelanus
Lineage: Eukaryota; Metazoa; Arthropoda; Arachnida; Araneae; Selenopidae
Description: partial 16S ribosomal RNA
Rfam family: Bacterial large subunit ribosomal RNA (bases 99-399)
Source: RNAcentral